CGGGGGGGGCAAGCGUUGUUCGGAAUUACUGGGCGUAAAGGGUGCGUAGGCGGCUUUCUAAGUUGGAUGUGAAAACUCUGGGCUCAACCCAGAGCCUGCAUCCAAAACUGGGAGGCUAGGGUCCUGGAGGGGAGAGCGGAAUUCCUGGUGUAGCGGUGAAAUGCGUAGAUAUCAGGAGGAACACCGGUGGCGAAGGCGGCUCUCUGGACAGGUACCGACGCUGAGGCACGAAAGCUAGGGGAGCAAACAGGAUUAGAUACCCUGGUAGUCCUAGCCCUAAACGAUGGAUACUUGCUGUGAGGGGGAUUGAAACCCCUUGUGGCGAAGCUAACGCAUUAAGUAUCCCGCCUGGGGAGUACGGUCGCAAGGCUG
RNAcentral lists this ribosomal RNA (372 nucleotides) under uncultured organism. Its description in RNAcentral is "bacterial SSU rRNA". It matches the Rfam family "Bacterial small subunit ribosomal RNA", at positions 526 to 896 of the family's 1533-position model. The record is from RNAcentral.